GACGAACGCUGGCGGCGUGCUUAACACAUGCAAGUCGAACGGAAAGGCCUCUUUCGGGGGGUACUCGAGUGGCGAACGGGUGAGUAACACGUGAGUAACCUGCCCUUGACUUUGGGAUAACUUCAGGAAACUGGGGCUAAUACCGGAUAGGAGCUCCUGCUGCAUGGUGGGGGUUGGAAAGUUUCGGCGGUUGGGGAUGGACUCGCGGCUUAUCAGCUUGUUGGUGGGGUAGUGGCUUACCAAGGCUUUGACGGGUAGCGGCCUGAGAGGGUGACCGGCCACAUUGGGACUGAGAUACGGCCCAGACUCCUACGGGAGGCAGCAGUGGGGAAUAUUGCACAAUGGGUGGAAGCCUGAUGCAGCAACGCCGUGUGCGGGAUGACGGCCUUCGGGUUGUAAACCGCUUUCGCUCAUGACGAAGCUUUGUGUGACGGUAGUGGGUAAAGAAGCACCGGCUAACUACGUG
This 466-nucleotide ribosomal RNA is filed under the name uncultured bacterium. Its description in RNAcentral is "partial 16S ribosomal RNA". It matches the Rfam family "Bacterial small subunit ribosomal RNA", at positions 28 to 507 of the family's 1533-position model. The record is from RNAcentral.